This 625-nucleotide ribosomal RNA is filed under the name Cantharellus splendens. RNAcentral's name for it is "eukaryotic LSU rRNA". It matches the Rfam family "Eukaryotic large subunit ribosomal RNA", at positions 671 to 1258 of the family's 3401-position model. The record is from RNAcentral. Lineage: Eukaryota; Fungi; Basidiomycota; Agaricomycetes; Cantharellales; Hydnaceae.
GAGUAUAACAUGCAUGCAAGUAUAAGGGUGACAAACCCGUAUGCGCAAUGAAAGUAACUUUCGGUGAUUGUUGUGUGGCCUGACGACCAGACACGAAACAGAGCCUGUCCCUCGAAUGGCCACUGCCCAGGUUCCGUGGUACGAUCCCAUGAACAUGGAGACGGAGCAUGCAUGCUAGGACCCGAAAGAUGGUGAACUAUGCCUGGACAGAGCGAAGCCAAAGGAAACUCUGGUGGAGGCUCGUAGCGAUUCUGACGUGCAAAUCGAUCGUCUGAUCUGGGUAUAGGGGCGAAAGACUAAUCGAACCAUCUCAUAGCUGGUUCCUGCCGAAGUUUCCCUCAGGAUAGCAGAGACAUCAAUGAAGUUGCAUGCGGUAAAGCGAAUGAUUAUUGACGCUGGGGUUCAAAUGGACCUCAAUCUAUUCUCAAACUGUGAAUGCGUGCGUUUGGACUGUUGCUUAGCGUAAGAAGCCCUGCCAGCAAUGCUUUAGUCUCUAGUGGGCCAUUUCUGGUAAGCAGAACUGGCGAUGCGGGAUGAACCGAAAGCGAGGUUAAGGUGCCGGAAUGUACGCUAACCAGAGAUAAAAGGCGUAUGUGCAUGGACACAGCAGGGCAGUGGCCAUGGA